CUUGUGGUGGAACAUUUUCUCAUUUUCAUGAAAGGAGACGAGCUUAUGAGGACACACAGACACAAAAAAAAAAAAAGGAAAUCUCCAUUUUUUGUUCUGGCCAAGAAUAGAGAAGUGGACUAACCAACCCGAUGAUUGAAAAGAGUAGGAAAAAAGGUCGGAGCUAAUGGAGUUUGGCAGAACUGUCUAUCCCAUUUUUUAAUGAUUUCUCAGACUACGUAAGACAAAUUCCCAAUCGUUUUUACGACCCUCUGAGGGUGGAAAGGAGCAUCAUCAACCUGACGAUAUCGUGAGAUGAUGAUGAUGGUAAUCCAGUAGCCGACAAAAACCAGUAUUGUUACGACUGCCCUGAACUCGCUCAAUUAACCUAUGGCUGCUGUCUACCCUUGGCCUGCUCCUGCUGUUGUUACACAAGAAAUCAAUCGAAUCGAGGAAAAAAAAAAAAAGGGGAGUGUCGUAAGGAGCAUCAGAAAACCACCAGGGCAGUAUAAUGUAUACUACUGCAGAAGGUAGAGAAGGAUCAACACACGCAGAGAACCAUCAACAAGUUCGGAAAGGGCCUUUGCCUUAUUAUUAUUUCCCCCCUUUUUUUUUUUUUCUGUGUGUUUUAUUUCUAUUUUUACGAUUCCCUAAGACUCCCCUUUUUCUUUCCUAAUUUUCUCUUGUCUUUAAAAAAAAAAAAAAAAAAAAAAAGUUUUCUAGGCGCAAGAAUCGAGAAGAAAGGAACAGGAAUAGAAGCUGAGGCGGAAGAAGAAAAAUAUAUAAAAAAAAAAGAAAAGAAAAGGGGGCCGUGAGCACGGUUGGAACCGCGGAGCCCUCGAGGCGAGUCCAUCUGCUUCGGAAGUGAGUGGGAGGGCUCUCCGACACCAUCAAAAACUACUCGGCAAGCAGCGAGCAGCCAGCAGGAGAGCCCGAACUGAAA
Long non-coding RNA from Daphnia carinata, 922 nucleotides. RefSeq lists it as uncharacterized. The record is from RefSeq and is a predicted model, not a curated record. The transcript is spliced from 4 exons. NCBI's taxonomy places the organism in Eukaryota, Metazoa, Arthropoda, Branchiopoda, Diplostraca, Daphniidae.